Molecule: long non-coding RNA, 2735 nt
Organism: Grus americana (Whooping crane)
Lineage: Eukaryota; Metazoa; Chordata; Aves; Gruiformes; Gruidae
Exons: 3
Source: RefSeq, a predicted model, not a curated record
ACACUCACUGGAAUGUCGUGGGGAAGAAGAAGUUCAAGCUCAUUUAAGGACCAGUAAAAGCUCCAGCAGACAGACAGACAGACAGAUCCACCCACAGCAGCAGCGACAACAGCGAGAGACCACUCAGCGAGGCACUGGGACACGCAGAUACCAGAGGGGCAACAGAUUUUACUACAGCUCCUUGAACAAGCAACAGCUGACAGAGUCACGGAGCAGCAAUGCAAACUCCAAGGCAAGGCGGAGGAGUUGAGGGCUCCUGCAGUUGCAAGGAUUUUUAACUUGGUUUUUCACUCCAUAUUAAUAGCUUUGGUCUUUUUAUAAAUUGUAUUAAUUUUAGACAUUUAACAAGGCAGAUAAUGACUGUGAAGUGCUUCGGAGAACUAGAGGCGACCACCUUCAGACAUUUAUGGGUUUUGAGGCCAGACCAGAAAGCAAACACCUCCAUGGAGACUCCCUGCUCAGUCCUACUCAGGAGCCUGGCGUCGCUGCAGCAUCCUUGCUGCAUUUGUGGGCAGUAACCCAAGAGCUGGAGUCUACCAAAGGACAGGAAGAACAGAGACCUGCAGGCCAGUAACAUGGAAUUGUAAUUGCUAACAAGGCUAUAAGCUGUGCAUUAACUGUACAGGCUUCAUUGUUACAUCUUGCCUGUUUGGAGCUUUAUUUUCUGUAUUUUAGUCUGUUUUACUGGAGUCACCAAUAAGAUUUUCAUGGCUAGACCGCUAACCCAUGACCUAACUUGCCUUAGUCUUGCCUAGCUUGCACCAGCUACUUAAUCUAAUAAUAAUAACUUAAGACCCCAAAUUAAAAAUUGUUGCAGCUCUUAAGGGAGCCUUGAGAGUUACAGCUCAAGAUCUGGAUCCACCCAGAUUGGGAAAUCAUAGCUGAAGUUUUGGAAAAAGUGCUCUAAAAUUACAAUAACUGAAUUAACUCAGUAGUUUUCUUCAUUUACGGGACAAUCCUCCAAGGAGGGAACAACUUGAGGAGAAGCAGCUAGUCCUAGUGUUGAACUGCUGAUUUCAUGGCCUUUUAAGCAAUUUAGGAGGAAUUUAGGAGGGAGGUCAAAUAAGAAAGGAAACAGAAAGGAAGGAUUGAAGCAGGUGGGAGACUAAGUGGUGUCAGUAGCUGAGUAGUUAAAAUUUGAGAGAACUGGGGGUUAAGUAUAUGUAUGUGAAGCUCUGUAAUGGGAUAUAGUGUAAUGGAUUGUAAACUAUUAUAACUGAGCCACAGUAGAAGUAACACUGGAGAGCGAUGGUAUAUAUAAGUAUUGGAGGAUAAUUACACCUAAUAGCCAAAUCUUGACUGCUAAGCCUUGCAUUUCUUUAAAGAGGAAAUUACAAAAAUCAUAUAUAGUGGAUAAGGAUGGUAAAAGUCUAUGCAGAAAUGUUAUAACUGACCAUGCAAACAACUAUGUGUAAUUCUCCCCUUUGCUGUCCCCCACAGCUGUUUAGCUGCCUCCACGCAUCCCAGGCCCAGCUCUGAUACUGCACAGCUGCAUAACCUUGGGCCAAACUUCUGAGCAAACCGCUAAGUUAUGAGACAGCCUGCAAGAAGAUAAGACGGGCAAAAGCAGGGGGAGGAAAACUGAGAGCUUUGGGUCAGAUCAAGCCAUUAAUAUCUACAGUGAAAGCUGGAUGAAACUGGGUUUGAGCAUCCUAACCAUAUGUUACCUUCCUCAGAAAUGGGCAGCAACAGCAUUAGUCACACACCUGAGCUACAUCAGGCGACAGUGGUAUUGGGAUAUCUAAGAAUAAGACAAUGCUGUACCUGUGUAAUAGACUGGAAAAGUGAAAGUGUGUGAAAUCCUCCCAAGGACUGGCAAACUAGGGACACCAGUGGCCCCGCUCAGUCUGCAAUAACCACUAAACUCAGGACACCAAGAGGCUGCCGGGGCUGCCCAGGACCACCAGCACACAGGAACAUCAAUAGCUGUGACUGCUAUCUGCUGUGACGGAUGGCAGCUGGACUCUUGAGCACUCCCUGCUGUGGGACCUUUUAAAAGAGGGCUUGAAGGGGGUGCCCACGCUCUGGUCUGGGGUGGCCAGGGCUUCCUCUGUGGUGCUUGUGUUGGGGACGGUGCAGGUAGAUCAGGGCUGCUCUAUGCCAGACAAGCAACUCCUGGAUUAGGUCAAUUUAGAGGUUCAGGGGAGCUAUGAUGCUUAUUGCAGGCUGGUGGGGUGGUGCAGCUUGGGGGUUUGUGCCUAAGCAUCCCUCUGUGCGAGAAGCUGAGGACAGGCUGGGAGCUGAAGUUUCAAGCCUCAUAGGGUUGCUUCAGGCAGAAAAGCUUCUUACAGCAUCUCUGCAUUUCUCAAAUGUAUGAGGCUGUAAGAGAUGGUGGGGACUGAGGUUCCCUCAUGAAGUUGCUAUAGGAGUUACUUUGGGGCUAAAAAAGCAGAUCAAUUUAUUCUCUCAAACUGCAAAAAAUAGAUUUUCUCUCUUUUUUUUUUUUUUUAAAUAAAGAAGCUUUUCUCCUCUUCCUUGCACCCAGGAGCCUAGCACACAGCUCUUGACUUCAGUUUUGUCUUGCAUGCUUGGCCAUGCUUUUGGUCUGUGUUAAGCCUCUUCCAGCAGUCAAUAGAAAAGCUACCUAAAAUGCCAGCAGGCCUUGGGUCCGUCCCUCUGCCCUCCUCCGAGCUGGCCCUACAUACAAAAGUGGAAAGCUGUUGGGGUUGCGUGGUGACAGGCAGCGGUGCAAAUGUUUGGAGAAGACAGGUAGGAGUUAUCAGCCAGGAGCUAGG